RNAcentral lists this ribosomal RNA (249 nucleotides) under uncultured Gemella sp. Its description in RNAcentral is "partial 16S ribosomal RNA". It matches the Rfam family "Bacterial small subunit ribosomal RNA", at positions 114 to 354 of the family's 1533-position model. The record is from RNAcentral. Lineage: Bacteria; Bacillati; Bacillota; Bacilli; Caryophanales; Gemellaceae.
AACGUAAAGAACCUACCUUAUAGACAGGGACAACUAUUGGAAACGAUAGCUAAUACCUGAUAAGAAAGAAACUCGCAUGAGAGAAGUUCGAAAGUCGGAGCAAUCUGACACUAUAAGAUGGCUUUGCGGUGCAUUAGCUAGUUGGUAGGGUAAAAGCCCACCAAGGCGACGAUGCAUAGCCGACCUGAGAGGGUGAUCGGCCACAUUGGGACUGAGACACGGCCCAGACUCCUACGGGAGGCAGCAGAA